RNAcentral lists this ribosomal RNA (722 nucleotides) under uncultured Enterobacterales bacterium. Its description in RNAcentral is "bacterial SSU rRNA". It matches the Rfam family "Bacterial small subunit ribosomal RNA", at positions 63 to 776 of the family's 1533-position model. The record is from RNAcentral. Lineage: Bacteria; Pseudomonadati; Pseudomonadota; Gammaproteobacteria; Enterobacterales.
CGAACGGUAGCACAGAGAGCUUGCUCUCGGGUGACGAGUGGCGGACGGGUGAGUAAUGUCUGGGAAACUGCCUGAUGGAGGGGGAUAACUACUGGAAACGGUAGCUAAUACCGCAUAACGUCGCAAGACCAAAGAGGGGGACCUUCGGGCCUCUUGCCAUCAGAUGUGCCCAGAUGGGAUUAGCUAGUAGGUGGGGUAACGGCUCACCUAGGCGACGAUCCCUAGCUGGUCUGAGAGGAUGACCAGCCACACUGGAACUGAGACACGGUCCAGACUCCUACGGGAGGCAGCAGUGGGGAAUAUUGCACAAUGGGCGCAAGCCUGAUGCAGCCAUGCCGCGUGUAUGAAGAAGGCCUUCGGGUUGUAAAGUACUUUCAGCGGGGAGGAAGGUGUUGUGGUUAAUAACCGCAGCAAUUGACGUUACCCGCAGAAGAAGCACCGGCUAACUCCGUGCCAGCAGCCGCGGUAAUACGGAGGGUGCAAGCGUUAAUCGGAAUUACUGGGCGUAAAGCGCACGCAGGCGGUCUGUCAAGUCGGAUGUGAAAUCCCCGGGCUCAACCUGGGAACUGCAUUCGAAACUGGCAGGCUAGAGUCUUGUAGAGGGGGGUAGAAUUCCAGGUGUAGCGGUGAAAUGCGUAGAGAUCUGGAGGAAUACCGGUGGCGAAGGCGGCCCCCUGGACAAAGACUGACGCUCAGGUGCGAAAGCGUGGGGAGCAAACAGG